AGCAGUUUGAACGGCGACACAGUAUUCGGUCCGUGGGCUGAGGAACCAGUGACCUCUCACUGCCAUGGGAAGAGGCACUGCUUUGGCCACCAGUUUGGUCGGGACGUCCUGGAGGACAGUUAGGAGCCACAGCAGAUCUGAAUGAAUGAAUCAA
Molecule: long non-coding RNA, 154 nt
Organism: Thalassophryne amazonica
Lineage: Eukaryota; Metazoa; Chordata; Actinopteri; Batrachoidiformes; Batrachoididae
Exons: 3
Source: RefSeq, a predicted model, not a curated record